AGUAUUUUUACUAGUCAUUAGCAACUUUGUGGUAACUAAUAGGUGGUAAUAUGUAGUGUGGACGGUUCUGUAAUUUAAACAUUUAUUUGCUAGCAUAUAUUCACCUUCAGAGGGGAAAAAAGCAACAAACAAUAUUUAGUGAAGAGUAAGAUUGAGCUUUAUCAUUCACUAGAAGGUCAUAAAUAAUGGGAUUUCAAGUAACAUGGAAACCUCUGAGACCCGUCUAACUUGAACAAUUCUUAUAAUGUAGGACCCUUCUAAGGUCACUCUGGAACACCAGUAACUUUGGGCAUCUUUAAAUCACAGUAUUGUAAUUCUCACAACCAUGAGAAACAGAAAGCCUCGGAGUUCUAGCAGUCAUGUGAUAUCCCAAAAAGUGCAUUAGCCAAAAACAUUUAAAUAAAUAAACUACUACUCUUCAGGCUCUAGCAUUCUGCAGCAACUGAGACUCAAAUAUUCAGCACUAGCAGUGCCAGGCUUUGUUAAGCUGAAAAUUCAUCUGGAGUAUUGCUGGCACAAUGUGCUGUAAAAUUAUUAGUAGGAAAACUAGAAGGAAGGAUGUACAAAUCAAAGCUAAGAGAGGAAAGUCUGAGAAGCACAAGACCCAAUCAAGACCCUGUUUCAAGUCCUAGAGAGAGAAGAUUUCAUACUGCUUCUCCUACAGGCUUUCCAAGCCAGCCGCAUGAUCAACCUGACAAGUCUCUUCAGUUUCCCAGCUGCGCACAAGGCUCUGAACAGCAGCCAGCAAGAAGCAGGGGUCAACUUUGAAAUUCUGAAUCCAAAGAACAUGGAAAAGUUUACCUAGUCUCCUCCAAAGACAGAAAUAAAAUAGUAAAAACUGACCAACUUAUACCAUCUCUUUCAUUUCACUGUCUGAAAAAUCAAAGUAGC
Long non-coding RNA from Buteo japonicus, 891 nucleotides. The record is from Ensembl. Lineage: Eukaryota; Metazoa; Chordata; Aves; Accipitriformes; Accipitridae.